GAUGGACCCGCGUUGGAUUAGCUAGUUGGUGAGGUAACGGCCCACCAAGGCGACGAUCGGUAGCCGGACUGAGAGGUUGAACGGCCACAUUGGAACUGAGACACGGUCCAAACUCCUACGGGAGGCAGCAGUGAGGAAUAUUGGUCAAUGGGCGAGAGCCUGAACCAGCCAAGUAGCGUGAAGGAUGAAGGCUCUAUGGGUCGUAAACUUCUUUUAUAUGGGAAUAAAGUUUUCCACGUGUGGAACUUUGUAUGUACCAUAUGAAUAAGGAUCGGCUAGCUCCGUGCCAGCAGCCGCGGUAAUACGGAGGAUCCGAGCGUUAUCCGGAUUUAUUGGGUUUAAAGGGAGCGUAGGUGGAUUGUUAAGUCAGUUGUGAAAGUUUGCGGCUCAACCGUAAAAUUGCAGUUGAAACUGGCAGUCUUGAGUACAGUAGAGGUGGGCGGAAUUCGUGGUGUAGCGGUGAAAUGCUUAGAUAUCACGAAGAACUC
This 488-nucleotide ribosomal RNA is filed under the name uncultured Bacteroidales bacterium. RNAcentral describes it as "bacterial SSU rRNA". It matches the Rfam family "Bacterial small subunit ribosomal RNA", at positions 224 to 709 of the family's 1533-position model. The record is from RNAcentral. Lineage: Bacteria; Pseudomonadati; Bacteroidota; Bacteroidia; Bacteroidales.